Molecule: ribosomal RNA, 439 nt
Filed under: uncultured bacterium
Lineage: Bacteria
Description: partial 16S ribosomal RNA
Rfam family: Bacterial small subunit ribosomal RNA
Source: RNAcentral
CUACGGGUGGCUGCAGUGGGGAAUCUUAGACAAUGGGGGAAACCCUGAUCUAGCCAUGCCGCGUGAGCGAAGAAGGCCUUAGGGUUGUAAAGCUCUUUCAGCUGGGAAGAUAAUGACGGUACCGGCAGAAGAAGCCCCGGCUAACUCCGUGCCAGCAGCCGCGGUAAUACGGAGGGGGCUAGCGUUGUUCGGAAUUACUGGGCGUAAAGCGCACGUAGGCGGAUCAGAAAGUUGGGGGUGAAAUCCCGGGGCUCAACCCCGGAACUGCCUCCAAAACUAUUGGUCUAGAGUUCGAGAGAGGUGAGUGGAAUUCCGAGUGUAGAGGUGAAAUUCGUAGAUAUUCGGAGGAACACCAGUGGCGAAGGCGGCUCACUGGCUCGAUACUGACGCUGAGGUGCGAAAGCGUGGGGAGCAAACAGGAUUAGAUACCCCAGUAGUC